GGGGAUUUAGCUCAGUGGUAGAGCGCUUGCUUACCAAGCACAAGGCCCUGGGUUCGGUCCCUAGCUCCA
Non-coding RNA from Rattus norvegicus (Norway rat), 69 nucleotides. Lineage: Eukaryota; Metazoa; Chordata; Mammalia; Rodentia; Muridae. The record is from Rfam.